GUUGGAAACAACCCUCAAUGCAACAGUGUUGGAAGGUGGAGACUUUGGGGAGGAGUUUAGGUCAUAAAGGCUUUGCCCUCAUGAAUGGAUUAAUGCCACUACAAAAAGGGUUUGCAGGAGUAGGCCCACUCUCUCUUGUUCUUCUGCCUUCUGACAGGUUCAUUGCUAAGGAAUGGAUUGAAUCAGUACCUAAACCAGCUGACAGGGAUGAAUAAAGAAUGCAUCUUUUGCCAAGUACUGGGUAGAAUUUCCUUGGAGAGACUACAGAAGUGUGAGCAAUUUGGCUCUGUUCAUUACAAACAGUGUCUAUGGCAGACAUAUGAAGACCACAACUCCCUCCUUGAUGGAACAGGACCCUCGCCCCAGAGUGAGAAAACUGACGCUCAGGCAUCGAUUAGGCAGGGAUGACUAUGAAUGUCUCUGUGACAGGGUUGUUGCCUCCCAUUGAGAGAAGAAGACAAUGAAGAAGGAGUAUUCAAACAAGAUCAAGGCAGUCAUCACUUCAAUCAAAUCGUUUCCAAAUUUUGGGGGGUGGGAGCUCUGGGUGAGGGGGAGUGAAUGGUGUUUAUGACAUAUAGCUGCCUAUUCCCAGAACUCUUUUAUGUACUUUUAUUUUAUCUUCAAAAAGAAAAGACAUAUUAAAGGGAAAUAUCUAAGGAGGAGCAAUGCUACAUAAAGUUUAUGUUUUCAGAUCUGUUGCCCCAGAAAAUGCUUUGAUAAAACACACUUACAGCAAUAUAGUCAAUUUCAAAGAAAAGCUGGGAGAUAUACCUCUCCCUAUUGCAAUUUCACUAAUACUGACAGACCACCAAUUAUGACUAUCCAAAUUCUGAUAUGGCCUCUUGCCUCCC
Molecule: long non-coding RNA, 851 nt
Filed under: Homo sapiens (human)
Lineage: Eukaryota; Metazoa; Chordata; Mammalia; Primates; Hominidae
Description: HSALNT0040723
Source: RNAcentral